Molecule: ribosomal RNA, 497 nt
Filed under: uncultured bacterium
Lineage: Bacteria
Description: partial 16S ribosomal RNA
Rfam family: Bacterial small subunit ribosomal RNA
Source: RNAcentral
GAUGAACGCUGGCGGCGUGCCUAAUACAUGCAAGUCGAGCGAACGGACGAGAAGCUUGCUUCUCUGAUGUUAGCGGCGGACGGGUGAGUAAAACGUGGAUAACCUACCUAUAAGACUGGGAUAACUUCGGGAAACCGGAGCUAAUACCGGAUAAUAUUUUGAACCGCAUGGUUCAAAAGUGAAAGACGGUCUUGCUGUCACUUAUAGAUGGAUCCGCGCUACAUUAGCUAGUUGGUAAGGUAACGGCUUACCAAGGCAACGAUGCAUAGCCGACCUGAGAGGGUGAUCGGCCACACUGGAACUGAGACACGGUCCAGACUCCUACGGGAGGCAGCAGUAGGGAAUCUUCCGCAAUGGGCGAAAGCCUGACGGAGCAACGCCGCGUGAGUGAUGAAGGUCUUCGGAUCGUAAAACUCUGUUAUUAGGGAAGAACAUAUGUGUAAGUAACUGUGCACAUCUUGACGGUACCUAAUCAGAAAGCCACGGCUAACUACGUG